GCUUGCUGGAGGCCGCUUUGGCUCCUUCCAGCCAGGCUGAGCCUUUCCGGGAGGGUGAUCGCAAAGAGGCCUGGGCUGAUGGCAGGCAAGAAACCCUGUCAAGUUCAUGGACUCCUAUUUCCUAGGUCAAGGGCGAGGGGCCCCUGGUGUGGCUUAGGCUGGGCCACUUGGAUCUGGAUCUACCUGGGCAAGUCUGAUGGACGGUGAGGAGGAUGGGCCAGAAGCUGGGUGCAGUGGCUACCCAGGGCAUGUAAAGGGCACCGGGGUGUACCGCUCAGACCCCCUUCCAGGAAGGGCUCAGGCCCCGGCCACAAUGAGCAUGGCGGGGUGAUGGGUCCUUCAGGAUAGACCUCAGCUUUCAAACCUGGCCCUACUCUGCUUAGGACUGCCGAGGCCAACAUGUGGUCCAGGGGCCCAGCGCUUCUGUCCAGCGCGGGACCCUUCUGCUAGUCGUCUGUGCUCCAGAACCCCAGCGAGCAGCUCCUGGUGUCACGGCUUCCUGGCCUUUUUGUUUCAACGGGCCCACCUUCGUCUUCCAUCCAAACGUUAGGGAAAUCUUACAGACGGCCCCUUUCCGGUUUUGCCCUGAGUGGGUGUUCGUCCGCUCCAGGCUGGGCGAAUCCCCACGGAGCUUCAUUUUCUCCAUCUCCUCUAAUUCCCAGCUGAGGGGGGGCUGGCACCAGACGCAGACUAUGUGGCUUCCCGACACACCAAAGGCAGGAGCCGGGCUUGUUGGGUAACCGGACCGGUCACGGCUGCUGGAGCUUUCCAUGGGCGCUCCCCCAGGAGCCGAGUCAGCCGGCUGCUGCCAGGAACCUCCACACCCCGUGCUUUGGGGGUCGGGAGAGGCACACGCAUGCACGCACACGCCAGCACUGUCCCCCCAGA
RNAcentral lists this long non-coding RNA (888 nucleotides) under Felis catus (domestic cat). RNAcentral's name for it is "lncRNA (ENSFCAG00000046999.1)". The record is from RNAcentral. Lineage: Eukaryota; Metazoa; Chordata; Mammalia; Carnivora; Felidae.